RNAcentral lists this ribosomal RNA (403 nucleotides) under Verrucomicrobiota bacterium. RNAcentral describes it as "Verrucomicrobia bacterium partial 16S ribosomal RNA". It matches the Rfam family "Bacterial small subunit ribosomal RNA", at positions 355 to 776 of the family's 1533-position model. The record is from RNAcentral. Lineage: Bacteria; Pseudomonadati; Verrucomicrobiota.
UGGGGAAUAUUGCACAAUGGGGGAAACCCUGAUGCAGCGACGCCGCGUGAGCGAAGAAGGCUUUCGAGUCGUAAAGCUCUGUCCUAUGAGAAGAUAAUGACGGUAUCAUAGGAGGAAGCCCUGGCUAAAUACGUGCCAGCAGCCGCGGUAAUACGUAUGGGGCGAGCGUUGUCCGGAAUUAUUGGGCGUAAAGGGUACGUAGGUGGUUUUUUAAGUCAGGUGUCAAAGCGUGGAGCUUAACUCCAUUAAGCACUUGAAACUGAAAGACUUGAGUGAAGGAGAGGAAAGUGGAAUUCCUAGUGUAGCGGUGAAAUGCGUAGAUAUUAGGAGGAAUACCGGUUGCGAAGGCGACUUUCUGGACUUUUACUGACGCUCAGGUACGAAAGCGUGGGGAGCAAACAGG